This 253-nucleotide ribosomal RNA is filed under the name uncultured bacterium. Its description in RNAcentral is "partial 16S ribosomal RNA". It matches the Rfam family "Bacterial small subunit ribosomal RNA", at positions 524 to 776 of the family's 1533-position model. The record is from RNAcentral.
UACGUAGGCAGCGAGCGUUGUUCGGAGUUACUGGGCGUAAAGAGUGCGUAGGCGGUUUUCUAAGUUUGGUGUGAAAUCCCUCGGCUUAACCGGGGAACUGCGUCUGAUACUGGAUGGCUUGAGGUUGGGAGAGGGAUGCGGAAUUCCAGGUGUAGCGGUGAAAUGCGUAGAUAUCUGGAGGAACACCGGUGGCGAAGGCGGCAUCCUGGACCAACACUGACACUGAGGAGCGAAAGCCAGGGGAGCAAACGGG